RNAcentral lists this ribosomal RNA (292 nucleotides) under uncultured bacterium. RNAcentral's name for it is "partial 16S ribosomal RNA". It matches the Rfam family "Bacterial small subunit ribosomal RNA", at positions 505 to 796 of the family's 1533-position model. The record is from RNAcentral.
GUGCCAGCCGCCGCGGUAAUACGGAGGGUGCGAGCGUUGUCCGGAAUCACUGGGCGUAAAGGGCGCGUAGGCGGCGCGGUAAGCACGCGGUGAAAGCCCGGGGCUCAACCCCGGGUCGGCCGUGUGGACUGCCGCGCUGGAGCACUGUAGAGGCGGGUGGAAUUCCGGGUGUAGCGGUGGAAUGCGUAGAGAUCCGGAAGAACACCGGUGGCGAAGGCGGCCCGCUGGGCAGUGGCUGACGCUGAGGCGCGACAGCGUGGGGAGCAAACAGGAUUAGAAACCCGGGUAGUCC